GAUGAACGCUGGCGGCGUGCCUAAUACAUGCAAGUCGAGCGAACAGAUAAGGAGCUUGCUCCUUGACGGUUGCGGCGGGCGGGGGAGUAACAAGUGGGUAACCUACCUAUAAGAACGGGGAAAAUUUGGGAAACCGGAGCUAAUAACGGGAAAAAUUUUGAACCCGAUGGGUUUAAAGGGAAAGGAGGUUUUGCUUACCACUAUAGAUGGACCCGCGCCGUAUUAGCUAGUUGGUAAGGUAACGGCUUACCAAGGCGACGAUACGUAGCCGACCUGAGAGGGUGAUCGGCCACACUGGAACUGAGACACGGUCCAGACUCCUACGGGAGGCAGCAGUAGGGAAUCUUCCGCAAUGGGCGAAAGCCUGACGGAGCAACGCCGCGUGAGUGAUGAAGGGUUUCGGCUCGUAAAACUCUGUUAUUAGGGAAGAACAAAUGUGUAAGUAACUGUGCACGUCUUGACGGUACCUAAUCAGAAAGCCACGGCUAACUACGUG
Molecule: ribosomal RNA, 496 nt
Filed under: uncultured bacterium
Lineage: Bacteria
Description: partial 16S ribosomal RNA
Rfam family: Bacterial small subunit ribosomal RNA
Source: RNAcentral